GACGAACGCUGGCGGCGUGCCUAAUACAUGCAAGUCGAGCGAGCGGAACCAACAGAUUUAACUUCGGUAAUGACGUUGGGAAAGCGAGCGGCGGAUGGGUGAGUAACACGUGGGGAACCUGCCCCUAAGUCUGGGAUACCAUUUGGAAACAGGUGCUAAUACCGGAUAAUAAAGCAGAUCGCAUGAUCAGCUUUUGAAAGGCGGCGUAAGCUGUCGCUAAGGGAUGGCCCCGCGGUGCAUUAGCUAGUUGGUAAGGUAACGGCUUACCAAGGCGACGAUGCGUAGCCGACCUGAGAGGGUGAUCGGCCACAUUGGGACUCGAGACACGGCCCAGACUCCUACGGGAGGCAGCAGUGGGGAAUAUUGCACAAUGGGGGAAACCCUGAUGCAGCAACGCCGCGUGAGUGAUGACGGUCUUCGGAUUG
This 425-nucleotide ribosomal RNA is filed under the name uncultured bacterium. Its description in RNAcentral is "bacterial SSU rRNA". It matches the Rfam family "Bacterial small subunit ribosomal RNA", at positions 28 to 425 of the family's 1533-position model. The record is from RNAcentral.